RNAcentral lists this ribosomal RNA (432 nucleotides) under uncultured bacterium. RNAcentral describes it as "partial 16S ribosomal RNA". It matches the Rfam family "Bacterial small subunit ribosomal RNA", at positions 29 to 506 of the family's 1533-position model. The record is from RNAcentral.
AACGAACGCUGGCGGCAUGCCUAACACAUGCAAGUCGAACGAGACCUUCGGGUCUAGUGGCGCACGGGUGCGUAACGCGUGGGAACCUGCCCUUAGGUUCGGAAUAACUCCCCGAAAGGGGUGCUAAUACCGGAUAAUGUCUUCGGACCAAAGAUUUAUCGCCUUUGGAUGGGCCCGCGUUGGUUUAGCUAGUUGGUAGGGUAAAAGCCUACCAAGGCGACGAUCCAUAGCUGGUCUGAGAGGAUGAUCAGCCACACUGGGACUGGGACACGGCCCAGACCACGACGGGAGGCAGGAGGGGGGAAUAAUGGAAAAGGGGCGAAAGCCGGAUCCAGAAAUGCCGGGUGAGUGAUGAAGGGCUUGGGGUUGUAAAGCUCUUUUACCCGGGAUGAUAAUGAAAGACCCGGGAAAAAAAGCCCGGGUAAACACCGG